GUGACGCUGCCCCCCAGUGACAGAGAACAGCUACAACAUGUAGCAGCAGUCUGGAAGGCUCUUCAUCGGACCGACCAAGUCGUGUGGUCUGCAGUGGCGUCGAGCCGAUCCAAGUGGGUACUUUAAAAAAGAAAAAGGGUUUUGGUGUUCCUCCUUCCCGUCUUCCUCAGGGAGGCAACACUGAUUAACAUGCAGACUAUCCCACACUGGAGUCACCUCUGAUCACACGUGAGUGCCAAAUUAGAGCUCAGUCCAUUCACACACGUUCCUUCACUCUGACAACCAUCAUUACCACACCAUGGCUGGAUCACCGCUUUAGAAAUACACAGAGAUCAUUUUGAGGAGGCAAAUGCCCUGCAUCUGUGGACUCACAUCAGUCGGCCUGCAGAGGUCACUGCCCCGACCGUUUGUGCAGGUGCUUCGUGUCUGUUCAGGUUUUAGAUCUCACCCUGAGUCAUCACACCUGAAUCAGAUGAUGAGUUUGUUACCAGGCUUCUGGGGAACUUCAGGACAUGGAGGUCAUUUAGUCACACGUGUAAAACCUGCAGGAUGAUGACCUCUCUGACACCAUAUAACAUCUACCCGAGUGAAACACACAGAAAUGAACAGAUUUAACACUUAAAGCUAACAUGUUGUUAAUAUAACUGCUCUGCUUGUUUUUAAAUAAAUUGUAUUUAACUGAUGUGUGUGAAAAUGAAUGAUGACACCUCCGUGUGAAGAGAUUUGGAAGGACAUUCACAUCAUCAGUGAACUACAAGCUGCUUUAACACUACCUAUAAUUCAACAUUUACAUCAUGUUGAAUGUUUAUGUUUUUAUUCAUAUGUAUAUAUUAUUCUUGUUUAAUUUGUUCUCAUGCUGGCCGGAUUUGCAUUUAACACAAUGCGCCUGGUAUGGGGAACACUGCUGACCAUUAUCAUUUUAAUGAUUGUUUGUCUACAUGCUAACAAAUGAACUGCAUUCACCAGAACAUCAGAGUUUAGUGAAACACUUCAUGAGAUUGUUCUGAAACUAAAAUGAGUCCACACUGCCAGAGAGAACGGCCCAUCACUGUUUGGUUACAAAGAAAAGACAGUUUGGGCUAAGGUCCGUAAUUACAGCAUCAAAAAGUUGUAUAUAAAUGUGCAUUUCCGGUUUUACUUUGAAGGUCUGCGUCUUAUGUCUGUGUGUUCAGUUUUGCUCUCCCUAGCUGUGAAGGACCCGGCCUUCACAGUCUACAUGGGCCGGGUCCUUCAAAGACCGAGAAGGCCGAAAGUGCGAGGCUGUGAAAUGGGACGG
Haplochromis burtoni (Burton's mouthbrooder) is the source of this 1276-nucleotide long non-coding RNA. RefSeq lists it as uncharacterized. The record is from RefSeq and is a predicted model, not a curated record. The transcript has 3 exons. Lineage: Eukaryota; Metazoa; Chordata; Actinopteri; Cichliformes; Cichlidae.